GGAAGGGUGGGCACGGGAGGGGAGGGAGAGCCGAGCCGUGCCGAGCCGAGCCGUGGGGGCGGGCGGGAGGCGGCCGGAGCCCCGCUCCCCCGCCAGACCCUCGCCAAGCGGGCUCGGCAGGGGGGUGACGAGCGGAGAAAGGAGAAGGGGAAGGAGCAGGAGCAGGAGCAGGAGCAGGAGCAGGAGCAGGAGCAGGAGCAGGAACAGGAGCAGGAGCAGGGCGGGCUCCCCCCUCCGCCCCCCGGCUGGGCGGCCCCCGCGCGGUGCUGCUGCUGCUGAAGGUGAAGCUCCGGCUCUCCAAUUACUUUUCCCAAGAGGGAGAAGGAGGCAGCAGGAGGGGAAGGCGAGCCGUGUGGGGAAGGCAGGCCAAUCAGAGCCGCGGUAACGGAGGGAUUGCUGCAGGACGCCGCGGGUUUUCCUCCCGUCCUCCGCCGCCGGGACUGAAUCGGGACCGCAGGCAGCUGGCGGAGGGGCCGGAGCCGCACCGGGCUGCAGGACUUCCUCGCCCCACAGCCAGCCCCUACUUCUCCUCCUCCUCUCUGUGUUUUUAUUAUUUUAUUAUUAUUUUUUUUUAAAUACUCCGAGCCACUUCGAGUCUCCCCGCCCUCCCUCCCGCAUCCCCCCAGCCGGAUUCCCGCUCCGUUCCCCGACAGCCGGGGGACAGCCGGGCACCGACGGCCGCCUGCCUGCCCGCCUGCCUUUCCCCUCCGUGCCGAGCCGUGUCGAGCCGAGCCAAGGGGAGCCGAGGCGGGCGCGGUGCCGCUCCAUGCCCCCGGGCGCCGGCGAUGCCGGGGCGGUGAGGCCGGGGCUCCCCCUCGCCGGGAGGCGGCCGCUCGCGGGGUGCUGCCAGCUCGGAGCGGGGCUGCAGGAUGAAUAAGAGAUACUUACAGAAAGCAACAAAAGGAAAGCUGCUAAUAAUAAUAUUUGUUGUAACUCUGUGGGGGAAAUUAGCAUCUGGGGCAAAUCAUCAUAAAGCUCACCAUGUUAAAACCGGGACCUGUGAAGUGGUGGCACUCCACAGAUGUUGCAAUAAGAACAAGAUAGAAGAAAGAUCACAGACAGUGAAGUGCUCCUGCUUCCCUGGGCAGGUAGCAGGUACCACCCGGGCAGCUCCUUCUUGUGUUGAUGCUUCAAUAGUGGAGCAGAAAUGGUGGUGCCACAUGCAACCAUGUCUUGAAGGGGAGGAAUGUAAGGUUCUUCCAGAUCGUAAGGGAUGGAGCUGUUCCUCUGGGAAUAAAGUGAAAACAACUAGGGCAAACGUGUAAAACUCUUCCAGUCCGAAUGGAGAAGUAGAGAAAGGAGGUUUCUGCUGUGCCUGAUGACAAUUUUUGAUUUUUCCACACACACAAAAUAUUCUGGCUCCACGUUGGAGCACUAGUUGCACUAGUCUUGGUCGGAUUCUAAGGAAGGGCCAGAACGUUCGUUGAGGAAUAAAGAGUCAAACCACUCCAGAAAAUGUGUUCCAGCCCUGGUUUAUUACUCACAGAGCAGCAGGUAACCCGAUAGCUAAAGACAAAUCAAGUCAGUCUCAAGGCUGAUAACAUUAAAUGCCACACAUAGGAAUUUCAUUCCUCCAGGCAAUCGUUGAAGUGAAAUUUUAUACUGCUGGGGUUUAUCCUUCAGAAUCAAUGAGAACCUGGUUUGUGAUCAGCAACAGCCUUGAGAUCAAAACUACAGGAAAGUUAUUUUGAACUUCUGUGUCACAAAGAUUUCAAUGGCUUGAACUGUAUACACUUGUAAAAUUGCACUUGCUGAGGAAUUUGCAGCUGUAACCUCAAGAGGUGAUAUUCAAAAUGUGCAGAAAAGCAGCAAUCAUUCGGAUUCUCCAUUCCAGACCAGUGACUUCAUCACCCUGAUGAAACCAACCUCCGAAAUGUAUUGGUUCCUUCUCUUUAAAAUGAUCCCUGGUCCACCAUUCAGAUUGCUGGUGGGACUGCACACUGCUUUAAUUAAAUUUCCGUUGCAGAAUUUGUCCUCUGGCAUGGCGCAGUUUUAGACAUUUUUAUCUGUAUUCUAAUCUUGGAGCUCUGAAGGGUACAUAUUUCAACAUCUUGAAGUUGCUUUUGUUAUAGGAAUGGAAAUAUAUAUCCACUGUUAAUAAUUAUUGUUGACAAGUAAUAGUUAUCGGAAUACAUCAGUCAUAUUAGAAUGUAUAGUCAGGUUGACAUGUUUCCCUAAGGCUAACCAACUACUGCAGCUCUUUGGCAGUUAAAAAAGUAGUGGUCAAAACUCAAUUACCACUUCCAUUAUAAGGCAUUUUAUAACUUUAAAAUAUACAUUUCAAUUUAGUUUGAAGGAAAUGAGUGUUCCUGUACUUUACUUUCCUAACCUUUAAUUCAUUGAAAUUCAUGGUAAGCAGUGAAAGACAGUAUUUCAUCCCUUUUUGUAAAGGUAGGCAGGGUUGUAAAUGAGGUUUGCAAUUAUGAAAUUAGAUGGUAAUCAUUCAGAAUUUGUCUCUUUUUAUUAAAAAAUAAAAUCUCUUGCUUGAAACUAAGUACUGUUGGAUGCUUAUGUAGACGUCUGCUCACUCUCUUUGGUAUAAAGGAAAAAAGUCCUAGUGCCCUCCCAGAUUCACAGUUCAUGAGUAUUUUGCUUGCUUACUGUCAUCCAAUUCAUACCUGAUCCAUGCCAAAAUCACAUUUACUUUUUUUUUUUUUUUUAAUUUUCCAUUUCAGUAGCAAUUUUUUGAACUUUGUGAUGUGCUAGUACAUGAAAAAUAAUCCUCAAUAUUUAAAGGCCUUAAGCGUCUAUGAGCUUUUUACUAAGUUAUUACAGAAUGUAUAAUUUUAUACUCCAUUUAAUGUAUAUUGUACCAUCUGUAAUAUUGAUCGAACAGAAAUUUGGCAAUUCCUUUUAGUGACACUACCUAAGCACGCUGGCUUACAGAGUAAGGGAGUUCUGACUGUAUGCUUUGGUGCAUUAAGUGAAAACCACACACACUUAGUGGUAGGCAAAAUAUAUAUAGGGUCAAGCUUAUUUAAAAGUCCUGUGUGGUUACCAGACUCCCAGAAAAAAGAGAGAAACAAUUUUAUCAUUACAAGCCAUUGACAUGGCUAGGUAGUUUUAUAUUAAGUUCCAUGAUGGAUGAACACCCUGGAGUGCUCUGCCUCUCACGGAAUCCCCUGCUGUUCCCAAACCAUUUCAUUACCUCUGUUGUAUUACUGCACAGGAGAGUUAAAUAAAAUAAAUGAUUGUUUGGAAUAAAAUUGAGGAGUAUAUUCUAUCAUUCUGCUGAAAAAUAAUCAGAAAUGUUGUCAGAGAAAGAUAUUCUUUUCUGAUUAAAUUUUAAUUAGGAUAAACUGUAGCAGCAACUAGGUAUCUCAGUAUGUUAGGAUGGAUUAAUAUUGUAUGGAUUUGUGCUAGCAGGUGCAGGACAGAAGGUAGCAUCUUAAAAAGAUUGAGACAGUACAAAGUAUAAAUGUGCUAUUUUGUGAAAUCUGAAUAUGGCCUGUCUUUGGUCAAAAAUCUGCAUCUUGCUUCUCAGUAUUUGUUUUAUUUGGUUCUUUGUUCUUAAACCAACAUUGAAAAUACUGUAUUAUAUACAAGUGUAACACAUGCAUAUCAAUAAGUGAAAAUAAAUGGAUUUUCAAAUAUACUGAAUAGAUUAUCUACAGUAGAUUACUGUUGUGAAUAUUCAUGACAAGUGAAUAAAAUUGUGAUAUAAAAUAGAGUAACCUACAUGGAUGUUCGCUUUGAAGAUCUAUUCUGUUUACCCGUGUAACAAAAUUAUUUUGUUUAAUGAGUAGGAAUCUCAAGGGUUAUAUUAAUUCUUUAUUUCUUCAGUAGGGCUGGGCAUAUCUCCCACCACUUUGAAAGGUCCUUCUCCAAAGGAAGUUGAUCAAAUGCAACUGUUCUAGCAUUAUCAUGGGGAAUUCAAGUGAGCAUAUUGUUGUUUUCAGACAAGAUUGAAUACAACUAUUGUUUCUUUUUUUUUUUUCCCCCCAGAAAAUUCAUGAAAAAUUCUAAUUUAUGCCUUUUCAGUAUCAACAUAACAUGGUAGAUAUUCUUGAAAUGGUAAUGUUUCAGUUUAAUUUGUUGAACUGUUAAAAAACAAUCAAACCAGUUCAACACUGAUCUCUGGUGGUCCAUCUCAGAGCAAGCUGGAAAGCUCAGAUGUCCAUAGUGUCUGUUUUAGUAGACAGUGUCUGUCUUUGGACAGAGUAUGUGUGACUAGAUACAUUGUGAGUAUUCAUAUCGUAGGAAUCUGGAGAUUAAUUCUGCUUCAAUUUAUUUUAUGUUUUAUUCCUUAUAUUCUACUUCCUAGAUUAUUUGAUGUACCCAGCUUCAUCUGAUGACAAAGAUGAUCAGGCAUAAUAAUCAGAGGAAAAUCCAUGUUACCUUUCGAAUUUAGUAAUCUUCAAGAGCUCUGAAUCAUAGGAGAUUAUGUGGUCUCAGUCUGCAGUUCCAUAUGGCAAUGCACUCUCAGGGAAAGAAAAUUCACUGCUUUGUUCAAGCUUUUUGAAAUGACAUGCAUUAGAUUAGUUCAACUAAACAAAAAGGAAAUCUUGAUACGAGUCUUAAUGAAAAAAUUUCCAAAAUGGAUCUAGUAAAUAUAAAAUAGGGCUUAAAAAACAUUAAAAAAAAUCUGCAUCAGAUAGGUGUGUACUGAAACUAAAAUUGUAUUAUAAAGCUUGAUAUUUUGUUAGGUUUCAUAAAAAUCUAAGCAGUUUUGUUGUUGUUGUUGUUGUAGUUUUUUCCACAUUAUGAUUGUAUGGCUGGCUUUUAUAGCUAUCCAGAUAAUGCAUGGAUGUCUGUAACAACAAAAAAGAAAAAUGUGAUUGGCAUCCUUUUCUGUUGAUUUACUGCCUCCUCCUUCAUGCCCUGAAUUUUACAAAUCUGUUGUUAACCAAGAUAUUGACAAGGGAAAGGAACGUAGUUUUGGGCUAUAACAGCAACGUUGCCGUAAUCUCUAGUUUCUUUCUGCCAAUAGAUAGAUAGCUCUAUAAAAAAACAUGUCACACCUGAACAAUCUGAUGUCACUAAAUGAUUUCUCAUGG
This is an RNA transcript of Cygnus olor (mute swan), 4997 nucleotides long. It is a transcript of the gene named TAFA chemokine like family member 2, with no coding region annotated. Lineage: Eukaryota; Metazoa; Chordata; Aves; Anseriformes; Anatidae. The record is from RefSeq and is a predicted model, not a curated record. The transcript has 6 exons.